This 305-nucleotide ribosomal RNA is filed under the name uncultured bacterium. RNAcentral's name for it is "bacterial SSU rRNA". It matches the Rfam family "Bacterial small subunit ribosomal RNA", at positions 335 to 658 of the family's 1533-position model. The record is from RNAcentral.
UACCUACGGGACGCAGCAGUGGGGAAUAUUACACAAUGGGGGAAACCCUGAUGCAGCGACGCCGCGUGAGUGAAGAAGUAUUUCGGUAUGUAAAGCUCUAUCAGCAGGGAAGAAAAUGACGGUACCUGACCAAGAAGCCCCGGCUAACUACGUGCCAGCAGCCGCGGUAAUACGUAGGGGGCAAGCGUUAUCCGGAUUUACUGGGUGUAAAGGGAGCGUAGACGGCAGUGCAAGUCCGGAGUGAAAGCCCGGGGCUCAACCCUGGGACUGCUCUGGAAACUGUAAAGCUGGAGUGCGGGAGGGGC